This is a non-coding RNA of Triticum aestivum (bread wheat), 125 nucleotides long. NCBI's taxonomy places the organism in Eukaryota, Viridiplantae, Streptophyta, Magnoliopsida, Poales, Poaceae. The record is from Rfam.
UAUGUACUCCCUCCGUCCGGAAAUACUUGUCGAAGGAAUGGAUGUAUCUAGACGUAUUUUAGUUCUAGAUACAUUCAUUUUUAUGCAUUUUUGCGACAAGUAUUUCUGGACGGAGGGAGUAUAUG